Molecule: ribosomal RNA, 1945 nt
Filed under: human gut metagenome
Description: bacterial LSU rRNA
Rfam family: Bacterial large subunit ribosomal RNA
Source: RNAcentral
UUAAAGUAGUAAGGGCGCAGGGUGGAUGCCUUGGCACUAAGAGCCGAUGAAAGACGUGAUAAGCUGCGAAAAGCUUCGGGGAGGAGCACAUAUCCAAUGAUCCGGAGAUAUCUGAAUGGGGAAACCCGGCAGAGGAAACCUCUGUCAGCGUGCAGUGAAUACAUAGCUGUACGUGGGGAACCCGGGGAACUGAAACAUCUAAGUACCCGGAGGAAGAGAAAGAAAAUUUAUCGAUUUCCAAAGUAGCGGCGAGCGAAAUGGAAAGAGCCCAAACCGUGAUGCGUGCAUCGCGGGGUUCGGACUGCGUUGUGGCAGACGUAAGAUAGGAGAACGGACUGGGAAGUCCGGCCGGAGAGAGUGAAAGCCUCGUAUCCGAAAUCCCAAGUCGCCUAGCAGGAUCCAGAGUAGGACGAGACACGAGAAACCUUGUCUGAACGAGCGGGGACCACCCCGUAAGGCUAAAUACUUCUUAGUGACCGAUAGCGCAUAGUACUGUGAAGGAAAGGUGAAAAGUACCCCGGGAGGGGAGUGAAAGAGAACCUGAAACCCUGUGUCUACAAGCUGUGGGACCUCUUUAUAUGAGGGACUGCGUACUUUUUGUAGAACGGUCCGGCGAGUUGUGCGUACUGGCGAGGUUAAGGACUUAAGGUCUGGAGCCGAAGUGAAAGCAAGCGUUAAUAGCGCGUCAAGUCAGUGAGUGCAGACCCGAAACCGGGUGACCUAUCCAUGUCCAGGUUGAAGCUUCCGUAAGAGGAAGUGGAGGACCGAACCCACAUCCGUUGAAAAGGGUGGGGAUGAGGUGUGGAUAGCGGAGAAAUUCCAAUCGAACCCGGAGAUAGCUGGUUCUCCUCGAAAUAGCUUUAGGGCUAGCCUCAUGAGAGUCUUAUGGAGGUAGAGCACUGAAUUGCCUAGGGGGCGUCAAAGCUUACCAAAGCAUAUCAAACUCCGAAUGCCAUCAAGAUGAUUCAUGGGAGUCAGACCAUACGAGAUAAGUUGGAUGGUCAAAAGGGAAAGAGCCCAGACCUACAGCUAAGGUCCCAAAGUACGUGUUAAGUGGAAAAGGAUGUGGGGAUUCUAAGACAACUAGGACGUUGGCUUAGAAGCAGCCAUUCAUUGAAAGAGUGCGUAAUAGCUCACUAGUCGAGAGUCCCUGCGCCGAAAAUGUCCGGGGCUGAAACACGACACCGAAGCUUAGGAAUGUGUAAACAUUGGUAGAGGAGCAUUGCUAGCGGGAUGAAGCCAUACCGUAAGGAGUGGUGGACUGCCAGGAAGAGAGAAUGCCGGAAUGAGUAGCGAGAUGAAGGUGAGAAUCCUUCAGGCCGAAUAUCUAAGGUUUCCAGAGUAAAGCUGAUCUGCUCUGGGUAAGUCGGGACCUAAGGCGAGGUCGAAAGACGUAGUCGAUGGAUAACAGGUUGAAAUUCCUGUACCGCAUAUAAACAGAACUGUGGGGACACAGACAGGGAAUGGAAUCCGGGAGUGGAGAUCCCGGUGCAAGCGAGGUAGGAGUGCUGUUGGCAAAUCCGCAGCACGAUCUGAAGACGUGACGCGUACCGAACAUAAGUAGGGAAGUCCAGGCCCCUGGCUGUCAAGAAAAGCCGCUAUUGUUUUAUAUGUGCCCGUACCGCAAACCGACACAGGUGGAUGAGGAGAGAAUCCUAAGGCCGACGGGAGAAGUAUUGUUAAGGAACUCGGCAAAAUGACUCCGUAACUUCGGGAGAAGGAGUGCCAUGAGAGUGGCCGCAGAGAAAUGGCCCAAGCAACUGUUUAGCAAAAACACAGGUCUAUGCAAAACCGCAAGGUGAAGUAUAUGGGCUGACGCCUGCCCGGUGCUGGAAGGUUAAGGGGAGAGGUUAGCGCAAGCGAAGCUUUGAACUUAAGCCCCAGUAAACGGCGGCCGUAACUAUAACGGUCCUAAGGUAGCGAAAUUCCUUGUCGGGUAAGUUCC